AUACGUAGGGGGCAAGCGUUGUCCGGAAUUAUUGGGCGUAAAGCGCGCGCAGGCGGUCAUUUAAGUCUGGUGUUUAAACCUUGGGCUCAACCUGAGGUCGCACUGGAAACUGGGUGACUUGAGUACAGAAGAGGAAAGUGGAAUUCCACGUGUAGCGGUGAAAUGCGUAGAUAUGUGGAGGAACACCAGUGGCGAAGGCGACUUUCUGGGCUGUAACUGACGCUGAGGCGCGAAAGCGUGGGGAGCAAACAGGAUUAGAUACCCUGGUAGUCCACGCCGUAAACGAUGAGUGCUAGGUGUUAGGGGUUUCGAUACCCUUGGUGCCGAAGUUAACACAGUAAGCACUCCGCCUGGGGAGUACGGUCGCAAGACUGAA
This 376-nucleotide ribosomal RNA is filed under the name uncultured bacterium. RNAcentral's name for it is "bacterial SSU rRNA". It matches the Rfam family "Bacterial small subunit ribosomal RNA", at positions 523 to 898 of the family's 1533-position model. The record is from RNAcentral.